UGAACGCUGCGGCAGGCCUAACACAUGCAAGUCGAGCGGAAACGAUCCUAGCUUGCUAGGAGGCGUCGAGCGGCGGACGGGUGAGUAAUGCAUAGGAAUCUGCCCGGUAGUGGGGGAUAACCUGGGGAAACCCAGGCUAAUACCGCAUACGCCCUACGGGGGAAAGCAGGGGAUCUUCGGACCUUGCGCUAUUGGAUGAGCCUAUGUCGGAUUAGCUUGUUGGUGAGGUAAAGGCUCACCAAGGCUGCGAUCCGUAGCUGGUCUGAGAGGAUGAUCAGCCACAUCGGGACUGAGACACGGCCCGAACUCCUACGGGAGGCAGCAGUGGGGAAUAUUGGACAAUGGGCGAAAGCCUGAUCCAGCCAUGCCGCGUGUGUGAAGAAGGCUUUCGGGUUGUAAAGCACUUUCAGUGAGGAAGAACGCCUUCGGAUUAAUACUCCGGAGGARAGACAUCACUCACAGAAGAAGCACCGGCUAACUCCGUGCCAGCAGCCGCGGUAAUACGGAGGGUGCGAGCGUUAAUCGGAAUUACUGGGCGUAAAGCGCGCGUAGGUGGCUUGAUAAGCCGGUUGUGAAAGCCCCGGGCUCAACCUGGGAACGGCAUCCGGAACUGUCAGGCUAGAGUGCAGGAGAGGAAGGUAGAAUUCCCGGUGUAGCGGUGAAAUGCGUAGAGAUCGGGAGGAAUACCAGUGGCGAAGGCGGCNUUCUGGACUGACACUGACACUGAGGUGCGAAAGCGUGGGUAGCAAACAGGAUUAGAUACCCUGGUAGUCCACGCCGUAAA
Molecule: ribosomal RNA, 784 nt
Filed under: Halomonas sp. AD-F1
Lineage: Bacteria; Pseudomonadati; Pseudomonadota; Gammaproteobacteria; Oceanospirillales; Halomonadaceae
Description: bacterial SSU rRNA
Rfam family: Bacterial small subunit ribosomal RNA
Source: RNAcentral